AUGGUACUAACUAUACCGAGUUCUCUUCCUCCUAGAGUCUGUCCCAUCACUUGUAAGUGGGUCUACAAGGUUAAGACUCGCUCCGAUGGUUCUCUUGAGCGUCACAAAGCUCGUCUUGUGGCUCGUGGUUUUCAGCAGGAGCAUGGUCGUGAUUAUGACGAGACUUUUGCUCCUGUGGCCCAUAUGACCACUAUUCGUACACUUCUUGUCGUUGCCUCUGCAUGCCACUGGUCUAUAUCUCAACUUGAUGUGAAGAAUGCCUUUCUUAAUGGUGAGCUGCGUGAGGAGGUGUACAUGCAGCCACCACCUGGGUAUUCUGUCCCUGAUGGCAUGGUAUGUCGUCUUCGUCGCUCUCUCUAUGGUCUUAAGCAAGCCCCCCGCGCCUGGUUUGAGCGUUUUGCCUCUGUGGUCACUGCCGCUGGUUUUUCAGCAAGUGAUCAUGAUCCAGCAUUGUUUAUUUACCUUUCUCCUCGUGGUCGGACUCUUCUUCUUCUCUAUGUUGAUGACAUGAUCAUCACUGGGGAUGACUCCGAGUAUAUUGCCUUUGUAAAGGCCCGUCUUAGUGAGCAGUUUCUUAUGUCUGAUCUUGGACCUCUUCGCUACUUUCUUGGGAUUGAAGUCUCUUCUACCUCUGAUGGCUUUUUUAUAUCCCAGGAAAAGUAUAUCCAGGAUCUUCUUGCUCGUGCUGCUCUUACUGACGAGCGCAUUGUUGAGACUUCUAUGGAGCUCAAUGUUCACCUUCGUGCUACUGAUGGUGAUCCUCUCCCUGACCCGACGCGUUAUCGUCAUCUUGUUGGCAGUCUUGUCUAUCUAGCUGUCACUCGUCCGGACAUCUCUUAUCCGGUUCAUAAUCUGAGUCAGUUUGUCUCUGCUCCCACAUCGGUUCACUAUAGUCAUCUCCUUCGUGUUCUCCGAUAUCUUCGGGGCACGAUCUCUCACCGUCUAUUCUUUCCUCGCUCCAGUUCUUUACAGCUUCAGGCCUAUUCGGAUGCUACGUGGGCUAGUGAUCCUUCAGAUCGCCGUUCACUUUCUGCUUACUGUGUUUUUCUUGGUGGUUCUCUCAUUGCCUGGAAGACGAAGAAACAGAUUGCAGUUUCCCGUUCGAGUGCUGAGGCUGAGUUGCGAGCAAUGGCUCUUUUGACGGCAGAGGUGACUUGGUUACGGUGGUUACUUCAGGAUUUUGGUGUUUCUGUCACUACACGACUCUGCUCUUAUCUAACAGUACAGGUGCUAUUAGUAUUGCGCGCGAUCCUGUGA
This 1257-nucleotide ribosomal RNA is filed under the name Triticum aestivum (bread wheat). Its description in RNAcentral is "partial small subunit ribosomal RNA". The record is from RNAcentral. Lineage: Eukaryota; Viridiplantae; Streptophyta; Magnoliopsida; Poales; Poaceae.